GUAUUCUUCGUCCCGAUUAGUUGAGUUUUAAGUUCUUGUAACCAUAAUUGUUAGAUUACAAUAGUUUUGUCCCAUAUUAUUCCAACAUGGAGAAGACCCAACGUCGUAGCUUUUACAUUCUUCAACCUUCUGACUGACAUGAAGGCCUCGGAUCUUCGACCAUGGAAACUAUGUGGGCUAUUGAUUCCCAUUGAAAGGAAAUGAGUAAUUCGUUCCUUCAAUUUUCAUUGCCGGAAAAUUCCUUCCUCUAACUCGGACGACGACAACUCGCUUCACCGCGCCGUUCUCUACCGGCCCAGCUCGCUUUUCGUCACUCACUCCGCCACUUUUCUCGCCCAGGGCUUCUCGCACCUUCUCUCCGACAAGGUCUUCUGGUGCUCAUUUUGUGACCAAUGAGGUUACUAUUCGAUUUCGUUGAGGCACUGAAGAAAAAUGUAUAUAAUGCAUAUGAGGGAUCUGCUGUUUUACUGUCUGCUACUCGUUCUAGUUCCUUACUAUUUCGAGCCUUUGUGAGGAGUGGUUUUCUCGUAUAUGUAAGCCAAUGAUGAAUGCUGGAUUAGCUCUACAAUGCUAUGAUGCUACAAUUCAGUAUUGUGCUCUGCAUUUACAGGAGCUCAGGAAUCUUGUGGCUUCAGCUUUGAAUGAAAAGUCUAGGUCACAAGUAACUGAGAACCUCCAUAGUAUCAGGGGCAGAUUUUUGGCAGACAUCUUGAGAGUUUUAUGACACAUGGCAUUGGCUUUGUGUAAGAAUCACGAAUCAGAGGCUUGACUUGGCCUGGAAAAAUGGGUUUCAAUGACACUCUCUCCCUUUCUUGUGGAGGAAAACCGGUCCCUCAGUAACAGUAGGACGUUGGGACCCUUUACUUGGGUCACUGGGCUUGUAUAUCAGGCAGAAGGUAAAUAGGAAAGGCUGCUGCGCACUUUAUUCACUUGCUACAGACUGAGGAGUUGUUGAGUUCCUUGGGUUCUGAUGGUGUACAGUUUGUCAUUGCAUGCAUCAUUGAGUGUUAUACUUCUGCUUAUGAUUGGUAGAAUCCUGGUUAUCAGAGUUGCAUACACUUCGUGCUAAACAUGCUGGGAAGAGUUAUUGCGGUGCUCUGACAACAACGGGUAAUGAAAUUAAUGCAGUUCAUUCCUUGGCAUGGUAUGAUGAGUGUGAAUUUCAGGCAGCAAGGGCAUGCCUUGGUUUGACACCUAAAAGUAGCAGUGAGCUCACACUUGAUCCGAAAUUGGCCUUGCAAAGAAGUGAGCAGAUGCUUUUACAGGCAAUGCUUCUUUAGAAUGAGGGGAAGGAAAAUAAGAUGCCACAUGAAUUACAGAAGGCCAGAUCAAUGCUGGAGGAAACAUUGUCUAUUUCGCCGCUUGAUAGGUUAAAAGAAGCAGCAGCAUAUGCUACCCAGUUGCACUGCAUCAUUGCAUUUGAAGAAUUUUACAAGAUUAAAGGCACCCAAGAUAAACCCAGGCAACUUCAGUCAAUAUUAAGUUCAUAUGUCCGACUUAUGCAUCCACAAAUGGGUAGAGUCCUUCAAGAUUGUAACACUUGGUUAAAAGUUCUGCGAGUUUAUCAAACCAUUUCCCCAAUUUCUCCUGCUACUCUAAAGCUUUCUAUGAAUUUGUUGGGCUUGACCCGCAAACAACGAAAACCUACUGUUGGAAAACCUCUGAACUAUCUCAAAGAUUACACAUUGAGAUGCUCUGGGGAAAGCCACCAUGACUUUCUCACCUCAAAUCCUGCUAAUGCAUGCUGAAAACAAGUUUGAAGAUGCUUUGACGAACCUUUGGUCUUUUGUGUGUCCUUGCAGGUUUUCUUCACCGUCUAUAGUUUCUGAUGCUGAGUAUCAGGCCAAGGCAUGCUUGAAACUCUCAAAUUGGCUUAAACAGAACUAUUUAGAUUUGAGGCUAGAUGAUCUUGUUCUUAAUAUGCAGUCAGACUUUGAGAUGGCUGAUUCCUCUUCUCCUGGAAGAGGAAGGCCCUCAUUUGGCGAUGAGAGAUUAAGCUCUAAACCACCUUUGGGUCCUAUCAUUGAGGAAAUUGUGGGCACAGCUACAAAAUUGUCUACUCAUCUCUGCUCAAUUUUGGGAAAAUCCUGGAUUUCUUAUGCCUCUUGGUGUUUUAGUAUGGCCCGGGGCUCUCUCUUAACCCCAAAUGAAAAUACCCUUCACUCAUGCUCCUUUUUACCCAUCCUUGUUCAUGAAGUUCUGCCUGAGAGAUUCUAGCUAACUGAAGAUGAGAUCAUAAAAGUGGAACUUUGAUUUUACAGCUUGUCCAGAAUAAGGAUGACGAGGGUUGUAGAGCUGAACAGGGAGAGUCGAACUACUCUCUUGAUUCAGCUGAACUGAGAAAUGCAACCCUGUGAUGGCUUUGGUACAGCAAGUAGUGAAUAUUAUUGAAGCUGUUUCUGGGGCACCUGGUGCAGAAGAUUGCAGUGACAAUUGCCUUUCUGCUACUCUAGCUUCUCGGUUGAAGAUCUGCUUUCUUUGUGCAAAUUUUGGCCUAAAUGAAACUGACAUAAUUUCUGUAGUUGAUCAUUUGGUUGUUGUUUGGUGGUCUUUGAGGAGGAGAAGAGUGUCACACUUUCGGUAUGCAACUCAUGGCUAUAUAAAGUAUAUUUUGUAUUCAUCUGCAAAAAUUUGCAAUCAUGGCUUGGCUGACUCUGAUUUUGAGCCUCUGAAGCAAAAAGCUGGCAGCAAUACUCUGAGGGCUACAUUGUAUGUCCUACAUAUUCUUCUCAUAUAUGGAGCAGAGUUGAAAUAUGUACUUGAACCUGCUCUUUCAACAGUUCCUUUGUCACCAACCAUGGCAGGAAGUAACUUCUGAAUUGCUUGCUCGGUUAAGUUCUCAUCCCGAGCAAGUGGUUCAGAAGCAGUUGGAGGGCUCACAAAUGAUGCUGGCCAAGCAAUCUCCUUGGUCCAUUGUCCACCCAACACUAGUUGAUGUGGAUGCUCAUGAAGAAAAGCCUUCAGAGGAGCUUCAGCACAUACUUGGUUGUUUGGUAAGGAAAUUUCUUUCAUUAUUUUUUUUUCAGGAUGUUGUGCAUUUAGUGCAAUACAAUUAGACUCAAACAGAAUUGACGGAAAGGACUAGUGGUGUAACACGAGAUCUACUUGGUGGGAGGAUGUAGCUAUUUUUGGAGAUUAAGGCCGCAUCUGUAACUUGGGGUAUAAUUCAGGGACCAUUGCUACAUUUUAGUCAUAUAUUUAUGACUGGGAUCACAUAUGAUGUAGUAUGACAAGGAUUGUUUUUAGUCUAUAAUGAUGUUGAAUUCUAU
Molecule: long non-coding RNA, 3269 nt
Organism: Prunus persica (peach)
Lineage: Eukaryota; Viridiplantae; Streptophyta; Magnoliopsida; Rosales; Rosaceae
Exons: 3
Source: RefSeq, a predicted model, not a curated record